GACGAACGCUGGCGGCGUGCUUAACACAUGCAAGUCGAACGGAAAGGCCCAGCUUGCUGGGUACUCGAGUGGCGAACGGGUGAGUAACACGUGGGUGAUCUGCCCUGCACUCUGGGAUAAGCCUGGGAAACUGGGUCUAAUACCGGAUAUGACCGACUGUCGCAUGGUGGUUGGUGGUAAGCUUUUGCGGUGUGGGAUGGGCCCGCGGCCUAUCAGCUUGUUGGUGGGGUAAUGGCCUACCAAGGCGACGACGGGUAGCCGACCUGAGAGGGUGAUCGGCCACACUGGGACUGAGACACGGCCCAGACUCCUACGGGAGGCAGCAGUGGGGAAUAUUGCACAAUGGGCGCAAGCCUGAUGCAGCGACGCCGCGUGAGGGAUGACGGCCUUCGGGUUGUAAACCUCUUUCACCAGGGACGAAGCGUGAGUGACGGUACCUGGAGAAGAAGCACCGGCCAACUACGUG
This 466-nucleotide ribosomal RNA is filed under the name uncultured bacterium. Its description in RNAcentral is "partial 16S ribosomal RNA". It matches the Rfam family "Bacterial small subunit ribosomal RNA", at positions 28 to 507 of the family's 1533-position model. The record is from RNAcentral.